This 253-nucleotide ribosomal RNA is filed under the name uncultured bacterium. RNAcentral's name for it is "partial 16S ribosomal RNA". It matches the Rfam family "Bacterial small subunit ribosomal RNA", at positions 524 to 776 of the family's 1533-position model. The record is from RNAcentral.
GACGAAGGAUGCAAGCGUUAUCCGGAUUCAUUGGGUUUAAAGGGAGCGUAGGUGGCCUUAUAAGUCAGCGGUGAAAUCUCUGGGCUUAACCCAGAAAUUGCCAUUGAUACUGUAGGGCUUGAGUAUAGUUGCCGUUGGCGGAAUAUGACAUGUAGUGGUGAAAUACAUAGAGAUGUCAUAGAACACCGAUUGCGAAGGCAGCUGACGAAACUAUAACUGACACUGAGGCUCGAAAGUGCGGGGAUCAAACAGG